GGUUACCUACGGGAGGCAGCAGUCGAGAAUCAUUCACAAUGGGGGAAACCCUGAUGGUGCGACGCCGCGUGGGGGAAUGAAGGUCUUCGGAUUGUAAACCCCUGUCAUGUGGGAGCAAAUUAAAAAGAUAGUACCACAAGAGGAAGAGACGGCUAACUCUGUGCCAGCAGCCGCGGUAAUACAGAGGUCUCAAGCGUUGUUCGGAAUCACUGGGCGUAAAGCGUGCGUAGGCUGUUUCGUAAGUCGUGUGUGAAAGGCGCGGGCUCAACCCGGUACAGGCUCUGGAAACUGGCGGGCUAGAGAGG
Molecule: ribosomal RNA, 305 nt
Filed under: uncultured bacterium
Lineage: Bacteria
Description: bacterial SSU rRNA
Rfam family: Bacterial small subunit ribosomal RNA
Source: RNAcentral